RNAcentral lists this long non-coding RNA (1198 nucleotides) under Rattus norvegicus (Norway rat). Its description in RNAcentral is "long non-coding RNA NONRATT010242". Lineage: Eukaryota; Metazoa; Chordata; Mammalia; Rodentia; Muridae. The record is from RNAcentral.
AAUAACUCAUUUGUGCUUUCUCUUGUUGCUCCUCUCCCUGCAGGGCAUCUUUAAGCAGUUCCAGUGCAGUAGUGACUGGGAUGUUCCGAAGCUCAAUAACUCAUUUGUGCUUCCUCUUGUUGCUCCUCUCCCUGCAGGGCAUCUUUAAGCAGUUCCAGUGCAGUAGUGACUGGGAUGUUCAGAAGCUCAAUAACUCAUUUGUGCUUUCCCUCUUGUUGCUCCUCUCCCUGCAGGGCAUCUUUAAGCAGUUCCAGUGCAGUAGUGACUGGGAUGUUCAGAAGCUCGAUAACUCAUUUGUGCUUUCCCUUGUUGCUCCUCUCCCUGCAGGGCAUCUUUAAGCAGUUCCAGUGCAGUAGUGACUGGGAUGUUCAGAAGCUCGAUAACUCAUUUGUGCUUUCCCUCUUGUUGCUCCUCCCCCUGCAGGGCAUCUUUAACCAGUUCCAGUGCAGUAGUGACUGGGAUGUUCAGAAGCUCGAUAACUCAUUUGUGCUUUCCCUUGUUGCUCCUCUCCCCUGCAGGGCAUCUUUAACCAGUUCCAGUGCAGUAGUGACUGGGAUGUUCAGAAGCUCGAUAACUCAUUUGUGCUUUCCCUUGUUGCUCCUCCCCCUGCAGGGCAUCUUUAAGCAGUUCCAGUGCAGUAGUGACUGGGAUGUUCAGAAGCUCGAUAACUCAUUUGUGCUUUCCCUUGUUGCUCCUCUCCCCUGCAGGGCAUCUUUAACCAGUUCCAGUGCAGUAGUGACUGGGAUGUUCAGAAGCUCGAUAACUCAUUUGUGCUUUCCCUUGUUGCUCCUCCCCCUGCAGGGCAUCUUUAAGCAGUUCCAGUGCAGUAGUGACUGGGAUGUUCAGAAGCUCGAUAACUCAUUUGUGCUUUCCCUCUUGUUGCUCCUCUCCCUGCAGGGCAUCUUUAAGCAGUUCCAGUGCAGUAGUGACUGGGAUGUUCAGAAGCUCAAUAACUCAUUUGUGCUUUCCCUCUUGUUGCUCCUCUCCCUGCAGGGCAUCUUUAAGCAGUUCCAGUGCAGUAGUGACUGGGAUGUUCAGAAGCUCGAUAACUCAUUUGUGCUUUCCCUUGUUGCUCCUCCCCCUGCAGGGCAUCUUUAAGCAGUUCCAGUGCAGUAGUGACUGGGAUGUUCAGAAGCUCGAUAACUCAUUUGUGCUUUCCCUCUUGUUGCUCCUCUCCCCUGCAGGGCAUCUUUAAGCA